CCUACGGGAGGCAGCAGUGGGGAAUUUUGGACAAUGGGCGCAAGCCUGAUCCAGCCAUGCCGCGUGCAGGAUGAAGGCCUUCGGGUUGUAAACUGCUUUUGUACGGAACGAAAAGGUCUGCCCUAAUACGGUGGGCCCAUGACGGUACCGUAAGAAUAAGCACCGGCUAACUACGUGCCAGCAGCCGCGGUAAUACGUAGGGUGCAAGCGUUAAUCGGAAUUACUGGGCGUAAAGCGUGCGCAGGCGGUAAUGUAAGACAGAUGUGAAAUCCCCGGGCUCAACCUGGGAACUGCAUUUGUGACUGCAUUGCUGGAGUGCGGCAGAGGGGGGAUGGAAUUCCGCGUGUAGCAGUGAAAUGCGUAGAUAUGCGGAGGAACACCGAUGGCGAAGGCAAUCCCCUGGGCCUGCACUGACGCUCAUGCACGAAAGCGUGGGGAGCAAACAGGAUUAGAUACCCUGGUAGUCCACGCCCUAAACGAUGUCAACUGGUUGUUGGGUCUUCAUUGACUCAGUAACGAAGCUAACGCGUGAAGUUGACCGCCUUGGGGAGUACGGCGCGAGUUAGACGACGAAGAGAGUUAGACGGCGNGAGACGNGCGACGGACGACGACGAGGGAGGUAGG
Molecule: ribosomal RNA, 624 nt
Filed under: uncultured bacterium
Lineage: Bacteria
Description: bacterial SSU rRNA
Rfam family: Bacterial small subunit ribosomal RNA (bases 1-543)
Source: RNAcentral